AAUAGAUACCCAGGUAGUCCACGCCGUAAACGUUGGGCGCUAGGUGUGGGGUCCGUUCCACGGGUUCCGUGCCGCAGCUAACGCAUUAAGCGCCCCGCCUGGGGAGUACGGCCGCAAGGCUAAAACUCAAAGGAAUUGACGGGGGCCCGCACAAGCGGCGGAGCAUGCGGAUUAAUUCGAUGCAACGCGAAGAACCUUACCAAGGCUUGACAUGGGCGGUAAUCCGGUAGAGAUGUCGGGUCCGUAAGGGCCGUUCACAGGUGGUGCAUGGUUGUCGUCAGCUCGUGUCGUGAGAUGCUGGGUUAAGUCCCGCAACGAGCGCAACCCUUGUUCCAUGUUGCCAGCACUUCGGGUGGGGACUCAUGGGAGACUGCCGGGGUCAACUCGGAGGAAGGUGGGGAUGACGUCAAAUCAUCAUGCCCCUUAUGUCUUGGGCUUCACGCAUGCUACAAUGGCCAGUCAAAGGGCUGCGAGACCGUGAGGUGGAGCGAAUCCCAAAAAGCUGGUCUCAGUUCGGAUCGGGGUCUGCAACUCGACCCCGUG
RNAcentral lists this ribosomal RNA (543 nucleotides) under uncultured bacterium. RNAcentral describes it as "bacterial SSU rRNA". It matches the Rfam family "Bacterial small subunit ribosomal RNA", at positions 777 to 1322 of the family's 1533-position model. The record is from RNAcentral.